This 647-nucleotide long non-coding RNA is filed under the name Nicotiana tabacum (common tobacco). RNAcentral describes it as "long non-coding RNA (NTAB_LNC005777)". Lineage: Eukaryota; Viridiplantae; Streptophyta; Magnoliopsida; Solanales; Solanaceae. The record is from RNAcentral.
UCUUCUUUGCCAUACCCUAAGAGAAAGUACCCAAAUCUGAAAAUUGGAUUUGAGAUCUGAAAAUUUCCCUCGUAUAAACAUUGGAUGGUUUUAUAGUGCUUGCAAUUGAGCAUUUGCAAAAAUGAAGUAAACGAAAUGUCAGACCUAUUAGCCCAAAUUAUCAAGUAUUGCUAACCUCGUCCCUCUGCUGCUUUGAUUCCCAAAUUGCAUUUUGACUUCUCGAUUGCUUGAAGGAUUAGCUGAACCCAAAACGAAAGCUCGACUACUCAACUGCUUGAAGCCAAAAAUUGGGAAAAGAUGAAAGGCAAAAUUUACAACUGGGAAUAACAAUACAAAUAGGUACUCCCUUAACAACCACUUUCGUGACUUUCAUGUGUUUCAUAUUUCAUGAGUUUUCUUUACAAAUUCUUGAUUUUACCUUCUAAUGGGGUUUAUUUUUCAUAGUGAUUAGUAGCUCUCUAUAGUUGCAGAUUUGUUUGUAUUUGGGGGUUCAAUAUUUGGGUAAAUAGGGUUGUAUAUUGCUACUAUCUCUCUCAUGAUUUUUUCCGAUUGUUUUUUCAAUUUCUCAACAGCAGAUUUGUCGAACUGCAGAAUUCUUCGUUUACUGGUAGUGCAGGAAGAAAUUAUUAUUGGUAGCUGAAGAGAAA